UUAUAAAAAUUUAAAAUAAUUACUGAAAAAUUAAUAGUUAAAUUCUUUAAAUUUAAAAAAUUUGGCGGUAUUUUAUUCUUAUUAGAGGAACCUGUUUUUUAAUUGAUAAUCCACGAUUAAUUUUACUUAUUUUAAAAAUUCAUAUAUCGCUGUCAAGAAUAUAUUAAAAAAUUUAUUUUCAAUUAUUAUUAUUUUAAUUUAUGUUAAGUCAAGAUAUGGUAAAUAAAUAAGAACUAAAUGGGUUACAUUAAAUUUAAUUUUUAGAUAUAUUAUUUGAAAUUUAAUUUGAAAUUGGAUUUAAAAGUAAUUUAAAUUAUAUAAUUUAUUUGAAAAUAGAUCUAAAAUAUGUACAUAUUGCCCGUCAUUCUUAUUAAAUAUAAGACAAGUCGUAACAAAGUAAAUGUACUGGAAAGUGUAUUUAGAUAGAU
This 428-nucleotide ribosomal RNA is filed under the name Tuberaphis takenouchii. Its description in RNAcentral is "partial small subunit rRNA". The record is from RNAcentral. Lineage: Eukaryota; Metazoa; Arthropoda; Insecta; Hemiptera; Hormaphididae.